AACGAACGCUGGCGGCAGGCCUAACACAUGCAAGUCGAACGAUGCCUUCGGGCAGAGUGGCGCACGGGUGAGUAACACGUGGGAACGUACCUUUUGGUGGGGGAUAACAUCGGGAAACUGAUGCUAAUACCGCAUACGCCCUUCGGGGGAAAGAUUUAUCGCCGAAAGAUCGGCCCGCGUCCGAUUAGCUAGUUGGUGAGGUAAUGGCUUACCAAGGCUCCGAUCGGUAGCUGGUCUGAGAGGAUGAUCAGCCACACUGGGACUGAGACACGGCCCAGACUCCUACGGGAGGCAGCAGUGGGGAAUAUUGGACAAUGGGCGGAAGCCUGAUCCAGCCAUGCCGCGUGAGUGAUGAAGGCCUUAGGGUUGUAAAGCUCUUUCACCCACGACGAUGAUGACGGUAGUGGGAGAAGAAGCCCCGGCUAACUUCGUG
This 433-nucleotide ribosomal RNA is filed under the name uncultured organism. RNAcentral describes it as "bacterial SSU rRNA". It matches the Rfam family "Bacterial small subunit ribosomal RNA", at positions 29 to 507 of the family's 1533-position model. The record is from RNAcentral.